GUAGGUAUAGCUCAGUAGUAGAGCACAUGCUUAGCAUGCACGAGGUCCUGGGUUCAAUCCCCAGUCCCUCCA
This 72-nucleotide transfer RNA is filed under the name Camelus bactrianus (Bactrian camel). It matches the Rfam family "tRNA". Rfam says of the family: Transfer RNA (tRNA) molecules are approximately 80 nucleotides in length. RNAcentral also lists the same sequence under 2 other names. Lineage: Eukaryota; Metazoa; Chordata; Mammalia; Artiodactyla; Camelidae. The record is from Rfam by way of RNAcentral.